Molecule: long non-coding RNA, 1504 nt
Filed under: Gadus morhua (Atlantic cod)
Lineage: Eukaryota; Metazoa; Chordata; Actinopteri; Gadiformes; Gadidae
Description: lncRNA (ENSGMOG00000027065.1)
Source: RNAcentral
AGGGAAACGGAAAAUGGAAUUUGUUUUGACUGAACAGAUUUGGUUGUAGAUCCGUUACAGCAUAACACAAGAAAUACGGAAGAAAAGAACGGUAGUUGACGUCUGUGGGCUGUAGGACCUACACAAUGGAAACACGCACUUGAGCCCGAGUUGGGAGUUCUGGAAACCCCCCAAGACAACCAUACACGGCACUUUAUAAUCUGAGACGAGUAAUAUACAAAGAUGUAAUUGCACAUUAGGAGGGCUUCUUUAGCGUUAUUCAAAUGGCUAUAUUGAUGCCUUUAUCUUACAUCAUACAUAAACUGAUUAAAAAAAAACAGCUUAAGAUCGACCACUUAGGCUACAUCCUGUUCGAGUUGACAUAAUUAUUAUAAACGAAUACAUAUAUAAAUAGCUUAAAUACAUAAAACAUAAACAUAAUACAACUAUUAUUCAUUAAGUUACUCACAUGAAAUUGUGUUAAUGAUUCGGGAAUAUCGGCUACCCUGACAGUGGUUUCGCUUUCUUGGCUCUUUCCGGAGUUUAGGCGAGUUAUUGUUGUCAGCACAUGUUGCUUCCUUGUUCUGUUCUGGUAAAGCACUCCACGUUCCUCAUGCGGGCUGAUGUAGUGAGUUGUAUUAUAACCUCAGUUGCGACGAAACUCUCGCAGCGGGCUUCUCCAAAUGAGCGUUAUUGGCAAGAGAGGGCGGGACUUUCAGGAAGUAAGAGACCGGAGAUGACGAUGUGAUAGACCGGGAUAAACGCUACCGUUCAGGAUCCUCCCCUUCGUCCACGUUACUCAUUCAGCGCUGGCAUGCGUCUGGGGCUGUUGUAGUGACGUCAUGUUACCGUCAGUGUGACUCACUUCCGAAGCGCGAUGAGCAAUGCAAUGAGUUAUAACAACAAUGCUUUUUACUACACCCCAGUCCAAAUAUGGACGGCUACGUUGGAACCAAAGGUGUGCUUUAACUCCAAAACCACACGGGUGAAAGUGUCAUUAAGACUCAAUGCAUGGCGAUCUUAUUUCAUAGAAGCAUAGCCUGCCGUAUUUGUGACAUUGCCACCACAUCAUUUUUUCUGUGCGUUUUUUUACUGAUGAUAAAGAUGACAAUCAAAGCAUUUACAUUUGACGCAAGGAAUUUGAUAGCCUACCCCUAGAAAAUGCCAUAUUUGUUCGUGACAAAAAUAAGUCACUGACAUUUAAUGCACAGCUUUCUUUGUGAAUAAAUGAAAUAGCUGUUUAAUUGUAGCUGUUUCUAUCAUACAUAUAAUGUAUAAAGAAGCUUUCACUAUUCAUCCACAAUUGUAAUAUAAUUAGAUUUGGUAGGUUUGUCUGGGUAGUAUUGAUAGUAAUAAUUAUUGGAUCGGAUUGCGUUAUUCCUUCCAUGAUAGUCUGUCUUGUCUUUCUAUGAACACUAGAGGGCAGGCUGGUGUCCUAUACAGCUGCUCACUCCUCCUUUCCCACUCUUCCAGAGGACAGUUGGUCAGAUAGCUGCACAUUCUACAUGGCAUCAUUCAGUUAAAU